This 301-nucleotide ribosomal RNA is filed under the name uncultured bacterium. RNAcentral's name for it is "partial 16S ribosomal RNA". It matches the Rfam family "Bacterial small subunit ribosomal RNA", at positions 509 to 807 of the family's 1533-position model. The record is from RNAcentral.
CAGUCGCCGCGGUAAAACGUAGGUGGCAAGCGUUGUCCGGAAUUAUUGGGCGUAAAGGGCUCGCAGGCGGUUUCUUAAGUCUGAUGUGAAAGCCCCCGGCUCAACCGGGGAGGGUCAUUGGAAACUGGGAAACUUGAGUGCAGAAGAGGAGAGUGGAAUUCCACGUGUAGCGGUGAAAUGCGUAGAGAUGUGGAGGAACACCAGUGGCGAAGGCGACUCUCUGGUCUGUAACUGACGCUGAGGAGCGAAAGCGUGGGGAGCGAACAGGAUUAGAUACCCCAGUAGUCCAUGUCUCUUAUAC